CGUAAAGGGCGUGUAGGCGGCGAUGUAAGCCUGGUGUGAAAGACUUCAGCUUAACUGGAGAGCCGCGCUGGGAACUAUGUUGCUUGAGUAUAGGAGGGGGAGCUGGAAUUCCAGGCGUAGGGGUGAAAUCGGUAGAUAUCUGGAAGAACACCGGAGGCGAAGGCGAGCUCCUGGCCAUAUACUGACGCUGAGGCGCGAAAGCGUGGGGAGCGAACAGGAUUAGAUACCCUGGUAGUCCACGCUGUAAACGUUGUGCACUAGGUGUCGGACUUACGGGUUCGGUACCGAAGUUAACGCGAUAAGUGCACCGCCUGGGGAGUAUGCUCGCAAGGGUGAAACUCAAAGGAAUUGACGGGGGCCCGCACAAGCGGUGGAGCAUGUGGUCUAAUUCGAUGAUACGCGAGAAACCUUACCAGGGUUUGACAUAUAGCAGACGGUCGUAGAGAUACGGCUUCCCUUCGGGGCUGUUAUACAGGUGCUGCAUGGCUGUCGUCAGCUCGUGCUGUGAAGUGUUGGGUUAAGUCCCGCAACGAGCGCAACCCCUACUGUCUGUUACCAUCAUUAAGUUGGGGACUCAGACGGUACUGCCGGUGACAAACCGGAGGAAGGUGGGGAUGACGUCAAGUCAUCAUGGCCCUUAUGUCCUGGGCUACACACGUGCUACAAUGGCCGGUACAGAGCGCAGCAAAACCGCGAGGUGGAGCAAAUCGCAGAAAGCCGGUCUCAGUACAGAUUGGAGUCUGAAACUCGACUCCAUGAAGCUGGAAUCGCUAGUAAUCGCACAUCAGCAUGGUGCGGUGAAUACGUUCCCGGGCCUUGUACACACCGCCCGUCACACCACCCGAGUUGGGGGCACCCGAAGUCGCUCGUCUAACCGGCAACGGAGGACGG
This 891-nucleotide ribosomal RNA is filed under the name uncultured organism. Its description in RNAcentral is "bacterial SSU rRNA". It matches the Rfam family "Bacterial small subunit ribosomal RNA", at positions 559 to 1453 of the family's 1533-position model. The record is from RNAcentral.